This is a non-coding RNA of Podarcis lilfordi (Lilford's wall lizard), 3284 nucleotides long. The record is from the annotation of a GenBank genome assembly. Lineage: Eukaryota; Metazoa; Chordata; Lepidosauria; Squamata; Lacertidae.
GGGGAGAAAAGAAGACCCUGGUAACUUCCAGUGAUGUCAACACUAGGAAAGGUCACAGAGCAGAUAAUUCAACAGUUGGUAUGUGAACACUUAGUAAAGGACUCUGUAAUGACUAAGACCCAGCAUAGGUUUCUCAAAAACAAGUCACACCAGACAAAUCUCAUCUCUUUUUCUGACAGAGUUACAAGCUUGACGGAUCAGGGGAAUACUGUGGACAUAGUGCCUCUUGAUUUCAGUAAGGCUUUUGACAAAGUCCUCCAUGAUAUUCUUGCAGAGAAAAUAUUCUCUUGCAGAGAAGCUGGUAACAUGUGGGCUGGAUGAGGCAACAGUUAGGCAGCUUUGUAGUUGGUUGACUGACGAAAUCCAGAGUGCUCACUAAUAAUUCUUCAUCAUCCUGGAAAAAAGUGACAAGUGGGGUGCUGCAGGGUUCAGUCCUGGGCCCAUUGUUGUUCAAUGUCUUUAUAAAUUAUUUGGAUGCAGGAACUGAGGGGAUGUGCAGGUGACACCAAACUGGGAGAAGAAGAAGAAGAGUUUGGAUUUGAUAUCCCACUUUAUCAUUACCCGAAAGAGUCUCAAAGCGGUUAACAUUCUCCUUUCCCUUCCUCCCCCACAACAAACACUCCGUGAGGUGAGUGGAGCUGAGACACUUCAAAGAAGUGUGACUAGCCCAAGGUCACCCAGCAGCUGCAUGUGGAGGAGUGGAGAUGCAAACCCGGUUCACCAGAUUACGAGUCUACCGCUCUUAACCACUACACCACACUGGCUCUGGGAGGGAUAGCUAACGUUGCAGAAGACAGAAUCAGGAUUCAAAAUGACCUUAGCAGAUUGGAGAAUUGGACCAAGGCUAACAAAAUGAAUUUCAAUAGAGACAAACGUAAGGUUCCACACUUAGGCAGGAAGAACCAGCUGCACAGAUCUAAGAUGGGGAACACCUGGCUUGCCUGUAGUACAUGCGAAAAGGAUCUAGGGGUCUUAGUGGACCACAAGCUUAACAUGAGUCAACAGUGAGAUGCAGGAGCAAAAAAGCCAUUGCUAUUCUGCGUUAACAGAAGUAUAGAGUCCUGAUCAAGUCAUAAUAUCACUCUAUUCUGCCUUGGUCAAACAACACCUGGAAUACUGUGUCCAGUUCCGGGGCCCCCAUAAUUUAAGAAGGGUAUUUACAAGCCUUAUGAGGAGUGGUUGAAAGACCUGGGUAUGUUUAUGCUUCAAGUUACAAGAAAGGAGAUUCCGAGUAAACAUCAGGAAGAACUUUGUGAUGGUAAGAGCUGUUUCACAGUGGAACGGGCUUCCUCAGAGGGUGGUGCCCUAUUCUUCCUUGGAGGUUUUAAAGCAGAGGUUGGAUGGCCAUCUGUCAUGGAUGUUUUAGUUAAGAUUUCUGCAUUGCAUGGGGUUGGACUAGAUGACCCUUGGGGUCCCUUCCAACUCUACGAUUCUGUGUUUAGGAAAAUAUCUUAAAAAUAUUUGCUGCUUCCCUAAGCAUACAUACUAAGAAACAAGUAGUAAAUGAUUUUGACUCAAAUGGCAUGGAUUUAUAAGAAAAAUGGUUAAAGAUAUGUCUGAAAGAUGGGUUAAAACACAAGACCAGUGAAUGCCAACAUUUUGUGGAAGAAUUUAAAGACUGGCUGUAAAGAGAUCAAGCUGUGAACACAUUACUAACAAACUGUUUUUAAAGUUACAAAUUAUUGGCUUGUCUACAAAGUCCACAUUGAAAGAAUUUGAUGUAUAGGCAUUUAGGCAACCUUCAAGAUCUCAUGACACAUAAUUAGUGCCACAUUUUCUCUGUGAGCAUCCUAGCAGCACCUCACAUGCAGAGGCUAUGGGGUCACUCAUUCUAGAUUUUCUCUGAGCACCAGCAGCCUCCCUUCCUGUCAUUCUCCUGCCUUUUAUGGGAUUCUCCUCCAGCAAAGUCAUCCACAGUUAGUUACCCUUCACAAUGUUAUUUGUGACUUUAUAAUUUCCUCUUGGAAUCUCCAAAUAAAUUGUUCUUAUUCCCUUCAGACAGGGGUGGGAGGAAGGUAGAUGUGGGAGAUACGCAAAGGCUUCUGACUCCCAUUUGUUUAACUAUAGCAGCAAAGACUUAAGUUCUAACUCUGUGGCUUUUGAUCUUGGCUCUGGUUGGUAGAUCUUGGUAAUCAUAACAAUAAUUUAUUACUUAAUACCCUGCACAUCUGACUGGGUUGCUCCAGCCACUGUCCAACCCAGUGUAGAAAGACAAGCUACAAUUCCUGCUACCUUCUGCAAUUCUCAGGCAUGGAAAAUAGGCAAGCAGUCUUCGCUGAGGGAGGUAGUGAGUAUUAAUUUGACCAUGUUAAAGAGGUACAGUAGAGAUAAAAUGGCAUUUACUUCCUGAUUUACACCACAGUUCACUGCAGAGCUGGCCCAGAAUUGAGAAGAACCUUUACAGCAGAGUUGGUGAAGACCCUCCAGGUUUCCAUCCCUGUGCUUGUCUUAUGUUGACCACUGUUUUUAUCCUGCCCUCCAAAGGCUAGAUGGUGUUAUUAGUCCCUUCCAACGUUAUGAUUCUAACUAGAGUCAACAGGGUCAUGUUGGGCUACCAAAGGAUGUAUUCUACUGCUAGGCUACAGUCAUUACGGUCACCAAACCUCAUAGUCCUUCCAUCUUGUAUAUUCUGCAACUCACUUAUGUUCAGUGGAGAAAACUUCUCCCUUCUUCCUUUUCCUCAUGGGGUAGUUGCUUAACUAUCUCUGUAUAACCCAGAAAUCACAAAGGAAUGUUCCCAUGUAUUAGAUAGAGCUUUUCAUCUGCUUUAGGUAAAGUCUGAAUACUGAGUCUGAAGCAAAGAGGACACUGCACAUGGCAAAUGUCCAGUUGUACAGAAGAGUGCUUCACCCACAUAGAAGAGAAGUGGAUAGUAAGGAGAGGGAAGAUGCUUAAAAUAAGAGGUCUUCCAUCAACAAAAAGAGCACUCAAGCAGUUCAAACAAGGUUCGUAACACAGGGAGCUUUCAGAUGACCCGACCGAUUUGUUUGAAAGGAGGUUGGACAAUGUUAGAUAUUUAUUAAGCAUCCAUUCCGAUUUGCUUAUGGGACGGUUAGACAAUAUUGCAUCAUAUGUUUCCCUACACUUUUGAGUGUAUUUCCCCAUCAUUCCCUCAUUGGACUUGUGGAUUGGUUCAGCAAAACCUCCAAAUCACCAGUAAGUACACAACUAGAAUUUGUCAGGAUGUGAUUGGAUUUCGCCCAAAAUUGUCAACAGCCUGGAAGUGCUCUUAAGUGUUAGGAAGGAAGUUGAUGUUUCAACAGAAAACAAUGGAUUCUGCUGCU